GGGUGAGUAAUAUAUCGGAACGUACCCAAGAGUGGGGGAUAACGUAGCGAAAGUUACGCUAAUACCGCAUACGAUCUAAGGAUGAAAGUGGGGGAUCUUCGGACCUCAUGCUCCUGGAGCGGCCGAUAUCUGAUUAGCUAGUUGGUAGGGUAAAGGCCUACCAAGGCUACGAUCAGUAGCUGGUCUGAGAGGACGACCAGCCACACUGGAACUGAGACACGGUCCAGACUCCUACGGGAGGCAGCAGUGGGGAAUUUUGGACAAUGGGCGCAAGCCUGAUCCAGCAAUGCCGCGUGAGUGAAGAAGGCCUUCGGGUUGUAAAGCUCUUUUGUCAGGGAAGAAACGGCUGAGGUUAAUACCUUUGGCUAAUGACGGUACCUGAAGAAUAAGCACCGGCUAACUACGUGCCAGCAGCCGCGGUAAUACGUAGGGUGCAAGCGUUAAUCGGAAUUACUGGGCGUAAAGCGUGCGCAGGCGGUU
This 480-nucleotide ribosomal RNA is filed under the name uncultured bacterium. RNAcentral describes it as "bacterial SSU rRNA". It matches the Rfam family "Bacterial small subunit ribosomal RNA", at positions 104 to 580 of the family's 1533-position model. The record is from RNAcentral.